AAAGCGUGCGUAGGUGGUCGUUUAAGUCCGUUGUGAAAGCCCUGGGCUCAACCUGGGAACUGCAGUGGAUACUGGGCGACUAGAGUGUGGUAGAGGGUAGCGGAAUUCCUGGUGUAGCAGUGAAAUGCGUAGAGAUCAGGAGGAACAUCCAUGGCGAAGGCAGCUACCUGGACCAACACUGACACUGAGGCACGAAAGCGUGGGGAGCAAACAGGAUUAGAUACCCUGGUAGUCCACGCCCUAAACGAUGCGAACUGGAUGUUGGGUGCAAUUUGGCACGCAGUAUCGAAGCUAACGCGUUAAGUUCGCCGCCUGGGGAGUACGGUCGCAAGACUGAAACUCAAAGGAAUUGACGGGGGCCCGCACA
This 367-nucleotide ribosomal RNA is filed under the name Salmonella enterica subsp. enterica serovar Typhimurium. Its description in RNAcentral is "bacterial SSU rRNA". It matches the Rfam family "Bacterial small subunit ribosomal RNA", at positions 562 to 927 of the family's 1533-position model. Lineage: Bacteria; Pseudomonadati; Pseudomonadota; Gammaproteobacteria; Enterobacterales; Enterobacteriaceae. The record is from RNAcentral.